AUGUUGUAUUACAUCAGGGUCGAUCACGGGGGCUCUUUCCACACGUAUCCUUAUGCGGGCGGGCCGUUUCAGAGCCUAGAUGAAGCUGACAAAGCCAUGGAUCGCUAUUUUCUUGAACAUAGGGACCCAAAACUGUUAAUGCACCAAGGUGGGGUUUCUUCACUGGAAAUGGCCAUAGAAGCAGCUCUUUACUGGCCUGAUGGCGCAAGGAAGCGUUCAAAGUCAGAUCACGCUGAGAGAGCCCGUAAUGGAAGGCGCCGAUUACUUCAAGCUUUGGUGGACAAGCAUAACGAGGAUCACAGUCUUUUGGGGGAUUUUGCGUAUGAACUCAAAGAUGUUGUGGAGUGCAAAGUAUUCAGUGAGAAGCGUGGGUGGUACUAUCAUCUCAAUUUCACUUUGACUAAAGGAGCUGAUCGUGGCAUCGAAGAUCUAUUCUUUGUCGAAGUCAAAUAUGUGCGACCAGUAAAACAAGAACUGUCAGUCAGCUGCUUCUGCAUGAUUAAACCUACCGAUAACGGAGAAAAGAAACAAAAUACGGACAUCAUCUGA
This 549-nucleotide ribosomal RNA is filed under the name Triticum aestivum (bread wheat). RNAcentral describes it as "partial small subunit ribosomal RNA". Lineage: Eukaryota; Viridiplantae; Streptophyta; Magnoliopsida; Poales; Poaceae. The record is from RNAcentral.